AUCUGCACAACCAUAUUUUGACAGUUAAUAUUCUGGNNNNNNNNNNAGUUCAGUUGCCAUACAUAAUUACAUUCCAUUCAGUUCCUACAAAAAAUACAGUCAAUGCUUGUUUUUUAGGAGGAAAUUCUAAUUUUUCAGAUUCCUCUUUGCAGGCUUGAUGUAGGCAUCCUGGCUGAAUUAUUCAGCAGCCAUCUUGCAGAGGUACUAAGGAAAAACCAGAGACUGAGAGAGUUAGACUUGUCACUCUGGAACGCAGAUGAGAAAACAAUGGAAUUGCUGUGUGAUGGGCUCAAACAUUCAAAGUGUACAAUCGAUGUUUUUCAGUUGGAUGAAAACUAUAAAAUGCUGAGUGUAAAAAGGAUGGAUGUGGACCACACGGCUAGCGUCUCCGAUGCAAAUACUGGUUAUUCAUGCUUGCUUGUUUGAUCUAUUUUAUUUCCAUUCAGAAAAUGGUUGGGAAGAGUUGCAUUUUAAUAUACUUCAAGUGAAGAUCUGAAGAACUUUUUUCAACAACUACGGUAUAAUCUGAACUGAGGACUUUUCUCUUUUUCCAAGUGAAAAAUGCCAAGCUAGAAAGUUAAAAGGUAGCAUGCAAAUCUGUUCAUGGAAAUGUGAAUAACAAAGCAUAACUAUUUUUAUAUUUUGUGACAUAUUUUAUCCUCUGCUGUCUGAAUAAGGGAAGGAAACAUUGAUUGAAUAAUUGACCAUUUGAUUAGGUGCUACCUAGUCCAUGUUGUUUCCUAGGGGCCAUAUAGAUUAGAGCUAUUCUGUUUUCAAUAGAAGAAAAUAUUUGUAAAUCAGGAUUGAACCAUGGAGUCUUUGUGCUUGUGAUCUUGGUUGUUUUCUUGCAAAUGUUUCAGCUUCUAGUACUGAAGAUGUUAGCUAGUUGGGUAAUGAAACAUCUGCAAGAAAACAACCAAGUUCAAAGAGCUGCAAGGACUCCACUCUUCUGUUUUCUAUGAUUUACGAUGCAGCCAUGGAGACAUUUAACACUCACAAGAAUUUAUUGGAAUUUGUAAAAUGAGGAACUAUAAAUAAUUGUGUGUAUGGAUAUGGAUAUGGAUAUAUAUUCAUAAAUAUAUAAAUAAAUACAAA
This 1095-nucleotide long non-coding RNA is filed under the name Notechis scutatus (mainland tiger snake). Its description in RNAcentral is "lncRNA (ENSNSUG00000009386.1)". The record is from RNAcentral. Lineage: Eukaryota; Metazoa; Chordata; Lepidosauria; Squamata; Elapidae.